GUAGGAGCAAGCGUUGUUCGGAACUUAUUGGGCGUAAAGAGCGCGUAGGCGGCUUGGCAAGUCCGUUAGUGAAAUCCCAUAGCUUAACUGUGGAACUGCGACGGAAACUGGCCUCGCUAGAGUGCGGGAGAGGAGAGUGGAAUUCCCAGUGUAGAGGUGAAAUUCGUAGAUACUGGGAGGAACACCGGUGGCGAAGGCGGCUCUCUGGUACCGCAACUGACGCUGAGGCGCGAAAGCUAGGGGAGCAAACGGGGAUUAAGAUACCCCGGUAGUCCUAGCCGUAAACGAUGGGCACUAGGUGUAGGGGGCAUUGACCCCCUUCUGUGCCGUAGCUAACGCAAUUAAAGUGCCCCCGCCUGGGGAGUACGGUCGCAAGACUAA
Molecule: ribosomal RNA, 381 nt
Filed under: uncultured organism
Description: partial 16S ribosomal RNA
Rfam family: Bacterial small subunit ribosomal RNA
Source: RNAcentral